Molecule: transfer RNA, 73 nt
Filed under: Phycisphaerales bacterium
Lineage: Bacteria; Pseudomonadati; Planctomycetota; Phycisphaerae; Phycisphaerales
Description: tRNA-Thr
Rfam family: tRNA
About the family: Transfer RNA (tRNA) molecules are approximately 80 nucleotides in length.
Source: RNAcentral
GCCAUCCUAGCUCAGUUGGUAGAGCACACCCUUGGUAAGGGUGAGGUCCCGGGUUCAAGUCCCGACGAGGGCA